This 402-nucleotide ribosomal RNA is filed under the name uncultured bacterium. Its description in RNAcentral is "bacterial SSU rRNA". It matches the Rfam family "Bacterial small subunit ribosomal RNA", at positions 355 to 774 of the family's 1533-position model. The record is from RNAcentral.
UGGGGAAUCUUGCACAAUGGGGGCAACCCUGAUGCAGCGACGCCGCGUGAGCGAUGAAGCCCUUCGGGGCGUAAAGCUCUUUCGACCGGAACGAUAAUGACGGUACCGGGAGAAGAAGCUGCGGCUAACUACGUGCCAGCAGCCGCGGUAAUACGUAGGCAGCAAGCGUUGUUCGGAGUUACUGGGCGUAAAGAGUGCGUAGGCGGUUUUCUAAGUUCGGUGUGAAAUCUCCCGGCUUAACUGGGAGGGUGCGCCGAAGACUGGGAAGCUGGAGUGUGGGAAAGGCAGGCGGAAUUCCUGGUGUAGCGGUGAAAUGCGUAGAUAUCAGGAGGAACACCUGCGGUGUAGACAGCUUUCUGGACCAAAACUGACGCUGAGGCACGAAAGCGUGGGUAGCAAUCA